CCUGGCUGGUCACCUCUGAGGUAGUAUAUAGUGUCCAGGUUGUGUAUCCAUGUUAAACUGAUGCUUGGCUGGUCAGCUCGGAGGUAGUAUAUAGUGUCCAGGUGGUGUAUCCAUGUUAAACUGAUCCCUGGCUGGUCACCUCGGAGGUAGUAUAUAGUGUCCAGGUGGUGUAUCCAUGUUAAACUGAUCCCUGGCUGGUCACCUCGGAGGUGGUAUAUAGUGUCCAGGUGGUGUAUCCCUGGCUGGUCAGCUCGGAGGUAGUAUAUAGUGUCCAGGUGGUGUAUCCGUGUAAAACUGAUCCCUGGCUGGUCAGCUCGGAGGUAGUAUAUAAUGUCCAGGUGGUGUAUCCAUGUUAAACUGAGGCCUGGCUUGUCAGCUCGGAGGUAGUAUAUAGUGUCCAGGUGGUGUAUCCAUGUUAACCUGAUCCCUGGCUGGUAGUUGGGACGAGUACUGAUACAUAAAAGAUACUUAAAGGCAUCCACAAUAUAACAUUAUCUGCAAUUAAUCAUGGGAUCACAACGAACUUGGAAACUUAACACACGUUUUACUUUUGAAAAUAAAACAUACAAUUUCUAAGCAAUCCAUAUGACCGGAAGAAAGCCACUACCUGUUUGUGGACAGUGAAUGUACAAGGAAUGUUCCCUUGUAGAUCUUGAGUUGACAAACGACGUGCAUACAAGGUUUGGUCUUAGGCUUCUGAAAGUGACUCUUUUUCAUACCGACAUUGAAAGCCGUAGAGUAAGCCAGUUGUCUUGAAAAUAUACUGAACAGCAAAAGAAACGCAAGUCUGGCAUUUUGCCAAGUUUAUGAAUAGAAGACAACCAA
Molecule: long non-coding RNA, 825 nt
Filed under: Haliotis rubra (blacklip abalone)
Lineage: Eukaryota; Metazoa; Mollusca; Gastropoda; Lepetellida; Haliotidae
Description: uncharacterized LOC124273571, transcript variant X1
Source: RNAcentral